GGGGGCUAUUAUUUGCUUGGAUAUCCAAGCUUUGUCAUAUCUGAGGUAAUAAGAAUUUGUCUGUGAUGCCUUAGGAGCCUACCUCACUGGCAGAUGGAAGAGGGCAUUUUUUGCAAGAUUGAUUCCUGUGUGGCUGAGAGCUUCUACAGUGAUCUCAGCCUUAAAGCCUAUCAACUGGGAAGUGACUGGAUUAUGUUAACUACAUGAAGGGCAUAUAGCCCAACAUUAAAGUUAAAAUAUUUAAUCCAAUAUUUAAGAAGUCUUAUCGAAGACUGAAUAGAAAAGAAUGGCUUCCAGGGAUGAUCAAAGCCACACCUAAGAUGUGGCCUGUUAGCUAAAAGGUAUGAAAGAAGUGUCCCUCCCUCAUCUUAGAUACUGUCCUGUACAGGAGGAGGUGAAAACAGAUGGACGUUGGCCACACACCAGCAAAAGAAGUUUGCUAAUUUCUGUCACAUGCAUAUGCAAAAGGAAACCUCAGUGCCUCUGAUGGACAAAGUUGUGCUCAUGACUAGAUAAAAUAGAAGUAAAGAGAUUUUUCUCAGUCUCAUCAACAAGGA
RNAcentral lists this long non-coding RNA (557 nucleotides) under Phasianus colchicus (ring-necked pheasant). RNAcentral's name for it is "lncRNA (ENSPCLG00000000810.1)". Lineage: Eukaryota; Metazoa; Chordata; Aves; Galliformes; Phasianidae. The record is from RNAcentral.